UUCUGUACUGAUCCUUCUUCUGACUUCUGAUUCGGGUACUGCUUCUGCUGAUAAUCCGAAUCUUGCCCACCAGAUAUCAAAGCAAGCGGGCCUACUGGCGACAUUUAACAUUCUCCCAAGUAGAAAGAACCAUGAAUGAGUUCGAUCUGGAUUGUUAAUCUUCAGAGCCUCAAUGAAGGACUCUUGAUAUUACAAAUAGCUGCACCGGAUAUGGCUUCCAGUUAGAAUUUGAGGAUCUAACAUUGUUAUAGUUCCCCACUCUGAAAAAGGGAUGAUCCUCUGGAAGAUGCAUACGGAGUACGCGAUGUCAUUGCCUCUGUAAGAGUGCUUUUUUUAUAUGCCGAUUUCGUUGCCUUUAAUCUAUCUUGAGCUCAUCUCCAUCCUCCAGGUUGCAGGGAAGAGCUCUAUAUUCUGGGUCCAAGGAUGAUGGUUGCAACGUUCCAACCAUCUGCGCUUCCACCAAUGACUUCAGGCUCAAGGCAGGGAGCCUCUAUUUCUGUAUGAUUCACAACCC
RNAcentral lists this long non-coding RNA (514 nucleotides) under Elaeis guineensis (African oil palm). RNAcentral describes it as "long non-coding RNA (EGUI_LNC074628)". Lineage: Eukaryota; Viridiplantae; Streptophyta; Magnoliopsida; Arecales; Arecaceae. The record is from RNAcentral.